Oryctolagus cuniculus (rabbit) is the source of this 1194-nucleotide non-coding RNA. The record is from RefSeq and is a predicted model, not a curated record. NCBI's taxonomy places the organism in Eukaryota, Metazoa, Chordata, Mammalia, Lagomorpha, Leporidae.
GCUUUUAACGCUAUUUGAAUUGCAUUUAUCCUUUUAAGCCUAUUUUUAUUUUAUUUUAUUUAUUUAUUUUUUUUUAUUUGACAGAUAGAGUUAGACAGUGGGAGAGAGAGACAGAAAGGUCUUCCUUCCGUUGGUUCAUUCCCCAAAUGGCCACUACGGCCGGAGCUACGCCAAUUCGAAGCCAGGAGCCAGGUGAUUCCUCCUGGCCUCCCAUGCGGGUGCACUGCCUUCCCAGGCCACAGCAGAGAGCUGUUCUGGAAGAGGAGCAACCGGGACUAGAACACAGCGUCCAUAUGGGAUGCCGGUGCCGCAGGCAGAUGAUUAACCAAGAGGAUCACAGUUGUUUGCUUUUGGUAUCUUUGGUUCCAUAGUUUGUACCAGAUGAAGAAGGUGUUGUUCAUUUACUUUUAGCCUCCUGUAAGUCAAAGGAUGAUUAAAAUUCAUGAAGAAUUAUUAAGAAGAGGUAAUUAACUGGUCUGCAUUAAGGCGAGUUGUGCUGACAGUGAUGUUAUUUAAAGAUGGGGGAGCAGUGAAUAACAGUAAUAUAAUAACAGUAACAUAAUUGUCAAAAAUAUUUUGAGUUUUCUGAGUCUGAUUUUUGAGUUUAGGAUUUCCUUUAUCUCUGCAAUGUUGUUGGGUAGUCUCCACAUGCCUUCAUAUUUUCAAUUUGCUUACUCAUUCCUUUCAUCAGUUCUCUAACUUCCUGUAAAAUCAUCCUUCUUCCAAUGAAUACCUUAAUGGUAGCAAAGUUGAGAUGUUGUUUGACAUUAAUGUCUGAAAAUGCAUAUAAAGUAAAUCCUGUAAGUCCAUUCUUAUUCCUUAUGUGAGAACAGACAUAUACACCAAGAUGGUGUCCCAUAGGGAUAAAUUGAUCCUGUUUAUAAGCUGGAGGCAAAUCUGGGAUUUGAGAAAGGUUAGCAUCAGUGAUCCGUAUCUAGACCUCCAUUCUGUGUGAGUGUCCUGCUUGGGUUCAGUGCCACAUAGGCAGUCUCCUUGUUGGGUCUUCAGCAACUCUUAUUAGGGGUGGGGCUAUUUAUAUGCCCACAAUACCCUGGUCCUAGUGCUUAUCUUUUUCCUACCUACUUUGAAAGCUGACUUACUCUGGACAUUUUGCUCUCAAGAUCUUAGUCUCUAAGAUUAACUAUGAUCUUUUAAAUUAUUUGUGUAAAAACAUUGAUGAAGGAUAAUAGCUUA